Molecule: ribosomal RNA, 185 nt
Filed under: uncultured bacterium
Lineage: Bacteria
Description: partial 16S ribosomal RNA
Rfam family: Bacterial small subunit ribosomal RNA
Source: RNAcentral
AAGAGGCUGAAACUCGCCUCUUCGAAGUCGGAAUCGCUAGUAAUCGCAGAUCAGCAUGUUGCGGUGAAUACGUUUCCUGGUCUUGUACACACCGCCCGUCAAACCAUGAGAGUCGCCAACACCCGAAGUCCGCUUUGCGGCCUAAGGUGGGGGAGAUGAUUGGGGUUAAGUCGUAACAAGGUAAC